GGGGGGGGGGGGGGGGGGGGGUGGCAGGGGGAGGGCGGGGGGGGCGGGCGGGCGGGUGGGGGGUGGUCGAGUGGCGGUCGUGGGGGUAACACGUGAGUCACCCGCCCUUGGCUUUUGGAUAGUCUCAGGUUUCUGGGGCUAGGACCGGGUAGGCGCUCCUGCUGCUUGGUUGGGGUUGGUAUGUUUCGGCUGUCGGGGAGGGUGUGGCGGCUUAUCAGCCUGUUGGUGUGGCAGUGGCUUACCAAGGCUUGGACGGUUAGCCGGCCUGAGAGGGUGACCGGCGGCAUUGGGACUGAGAAACGGCCCAGACUACUAUGGGAGGCAGCAGCGGGGAAUAGUGGACAAUGCGCGGACGUCUGAUGCAGCAACGCCGCGUGCGGGAUGACGGCCUUCGGGUUGUAAACCGCUUGCGCCUGUGACGAAGCGUGAGUGACGGUAAUGGGUAAAGAAGCACCGGCUAACUACGUG
This 468-nucleotide ribosomal RNA is filed under the name uncultured bacterium. Its description in RNAcentral is "partial 16S ribosomal RNA". The stretch from base 48 to 468 matches the Rfam family "Bacterial small subunit ribosomal RNA", at positions 39 to 507 of the family's 1533-position model. The record is from RNAcentral.